This is a long non-coding RNA of Felis catus (domestic cat), 1176 nucleotides long. RefSeq lists it as uncharacterized. The record is from RefSeq and is a predicted model, not a curated record. The transcript has 3 exons. Lineage: Eukaryota; Metazoa; Chordata; Mammalia; Carnivora; Felidae.
UUUUUUUUAAAGGUCCUAUGUUGUUAUGUAUGCCUGGUGAUGUUAAGCUAGUUUUUAGAUCUUAGACAAGGUAUGGGAGUAGGUAUUAUGUCUUCAUUUAGGAAAGAGAUGAUGAGUGACCCAAUUUUAGGUGGCUAAUAUUUUUUGUGCAUUUAUGACACGUGCCAUGGCAUGGUGUUGAAUACUUUAAUUAUUUCAUUUGACUGUGACAAUGAAUCCCCCAAGAUGGGGAAUAUCCCCUUCACUUGACAGAUGUGACAUCUGAGGCUUAGCGAUCAAACAAAUGACUUGCCAGGCUGUCACAAUGAGUGGUGGGGUGUGGCUUGACCCCCGGUCUGUUGACCCCAGAUUCAGGACCUUUGCCAUUAUAUACACGGAAACAAGACAAGAGCUGAAAUGACAGCCUGCCUCUUGGAACAGUAAAGUCAGUUGUGUGUGUUUAUGGAUAUCCCAACUAACAAGCCCUCGACAAGUGCCAUCACCUAUUUUGUUACCUUCAACCACAACUACGUCUUGAUUAUGAGAGGCUCCCUGUGACAUUUGAAGUUCUUGCUUGCGUGGCAGAUGCUCAACACAUUGAAAUCACUUCUUUGCUCCUGUUUACCUACCUCACAGUUGAAGUUCUGGAAAAUUUGGAGAGAAUGCCUUCCUGGGAAACCUUACCCACUUCCCAAACAGCUCCGUGUGUCCUCAGCAGACCCCAUCUUGAAGCAAAUCGGUCCACUGGCGGUCGCUUCUCUGCUUGCAUUUGACCUUCAUGGUUAUUCUCACGACUGGCUGUGUCCUCCGCUGUGAUCAGUUGACUUUAUAGCACAAUCAAUUAAUUAAUUUUUCAAGAAGUAUUUAAGGAGCACCAGCUAAGUUUAUGACGGAUUUCACAGGGAAUCAGAAGGAAAUGCGACAGACCAAACCAGACAAAAAUCCGUUGCAUUUUCUGAAACGUAACCAUCGAAGACUGUUAGCGGUGCCGAGUAAGUUUUAUGGAGAUUCUGUUCUCACAAGACUAUUAUUUUAACUUUGGGAGUCCUCCCUUCAGGUGGCCGGGCUACCUUGCAGUGAGGGCGAGACCCCUUGACUGAAUCGUUGGUUCGAGAAGCCGUCUGCUCAAGCUUCCAGAGAAGAACGCAUAAGCGGAGGAAUAAACACACGAUAAUUAAAUGUUUUUCUCACUACCAC